RNAcentral lists this ribosomal RNA (2958 nucleotides) under Salmonella enterica subsp. enterica serovar Potsdam. RNAcentral's name for it is "bacterial LSU rRNA". It matches the Rfam family "Bacterial large subunit ribosomal RNA". The record is from RNAcentral. Lineage: Bacteria; Pseudomonadati; Pseudomonadota; Gammaproteobacteria; Enterobacterales; Enterobacteriaceae.
AGCGUACACGGUGGAUGCCCUGGCAGUCAGAGGCGAUGAAGGGCGUGCUAAUCUGCGAUAAGCGCCGGUAAGGUGAUAUGAACCGUUAUAACCGGCGAUACCCGAAUGGGGAAACCCAGUGUGACUCGUCACACUAUCAUUAACUGAAUCCAUAGGUUAAUGAGGCGAACCGGGGGAACUGAAACAUCUAAGUACCCCGAGGAAAAGAAAUCAACCGAGAUUCCCCCAGUAGCGGCGAGCGAACGGGGAGGAGCCCAGAGCCUGAAUCAGCAUGUGUGUUAGUGGAAGCGUCUGGAAAGGCGCGCGAUACAGGGUGACAGCCCCGUACACAAAAGCGCAUGUGCUGUGAGCUCGAUGAGUAGGGCGGGACACGUGGUAUCCUGUCUGAAUAUGGGGGGACCAUCCUCCAAGGCUAAAUACUCCUGACUGACCGAUAGUGAACCAGUACCGUGAGGGAAAGGCGAAAAGAACCCCGGCGAGGGGAGUGAAAAAGAACCUGAAACCGUGUACGUACAAGCAGUGGGAGCCCCACCACCAAAGCAUUCUCUGGUGUUGAAGGCCCUGCAAAGCAGCAUCGCGGUGGCGGAGCGUCGUUUGCGACGCCCAACACACAAAACAAGCGGUGAGUGCUUUGGGGUGGGGUGACUGCGUACCUUUUGUAUAAUGGGUCAGCGACUUAUAUUCUGUAGCAAGGUUAACCGCAUAGGGGAGCCGGAGGGAAACCGAGUCUUAAUUGGGCGUUAAGUUGCAGGGUAUAGACCCGAAACCCGGUGAUCUAGCCAUGGGCAGGUUGAAGGUUGGGUAACACUAACUGGAGGACCGAACCGACUAAUGUUGAAAAAUUAGCGGAUGACCUGUGGCUGGGGGUGAAAGGCCAAUCAAACCGGGAGAUAGCUGGUUCUCCCCGAAAGCUAUUUAGGUAGCGCCUCGUGAAUUCAUCUCCGGGGGUAGAGCACUGUUUCGGCUAGGGGGCCAUCCCGGCUUACCAACCCGAUGCAAACUGCGAAUACCGGAGAAUGUUAUCACGGGAGACACACGGCGGGUGCUAACGUCCGUCGUGAAGAGGGAAACAACCCAGACCGCCAGCUAAGGUCCCAAAGUCAUGGUUAAGUGGGAAACGAUGUGGGAAGGCCCAGACAGCCAGGAUGUUGGCUUAGAAGCAGCCAUCAUUUAAAGAAAGCGUAAUAGCUCACUGGUCGAGUCGGCCUGCGCGGAAGAUGUAACGGGGCUAAACCAUGCACCGAAGCUGCGGCAGCGAACGUAUCACUUAAAGCGAUUCAGCGGGUUACGAUUGACGGAGCGAAGCGACGUCAAAGCGUAUACAAAGUCGAGUCGGUUUAAGGAUACGUUCGUUGGGUAGGGGAGCGUUCUGUAAGCCUGUGAAGGUGUGUCGUGAGGCAUGCUGGAGGUAUCAGAAGUGCGAAUGCUGACAUAAGUAACGAUAAAGCGGGUGAAAAGCCCGCUCGCCGGAAGACCAAGGGUUCCUGUCCAACGUUAAUCGGGGCAGGGUGAGUCGACCCCUAAGGCGAGGCCGAAAGGCGUAGUCGAUGGGAAACGGGUUAAUAUUCCCGUACUUGGUGUUACUGCGAAGGGGGGACGAAGAAGGCUAUGUUGGCCGGGCGACGGUUGUCCCGGUUUAAGCGUGUAGGUGUGUGUUCCAGGUAAAUCCGGUUCACUUUAACACUGAGGCGUGACGACGAGGCACUACGGUGCUGAAGCAACAAAUGCCCUGCUUCCAGGAAAAGCCUCUAAGCAUCAGGUAACAUCAAAUCGUACCCCAAACCGACACAGGUGGUCAGGUAGAGAAUACCAAGGCGCUUGAGAGAACUCGGGUGAAGGAACUAGGCAAAAUGGUGCCGUAACUUCGGGAGAAGGCACGCUGACACGUAGGUGAAGUGAUUUACUCACGGAGCUGAAGUCAGUCGAAGAUACCAGCUGGCUGCAACUGUUUAUUAAAAACACAGCACUGUGCAAACACGAAAGUGGACGUAUACGGUGUGACGCCUGCCCGGUGCCGGAAGGUUAAUUGAUGGGGUCAGCGCAAGCGAAGCUCCUGAUCGAAGCCCCGGUAAACGGCGGCCGUAACUAUAACGGUCCUAAGGUAGCGAAAUUCCUUGUCGGGUAAGUUCCGACCUGCACGAAUGGCGUAAUGAUGGCCAGGCUGUCUCCACCCGAGACUCAGUGAAAUUGAACUCGCUGUGAAGAUGCAGUGUACCCGCGGCAAGACGGAAAGACCCCGUGAACCUUUACUAUAGCUUGACACUGAACAUUGAGCCUUGAUGUGUAGGAUAGGUGGGAGGCUUUGAAGUGUGGACGCCAGUCUGCAUGGAGCCGACCUUGAAAUACCACCCUUUAAUGUUUGAUGUUCUAACGUGGACCCGUAAUCCGGGUUGCGGACAGUGUCUGGUGGGUAGUUUGACUGGGGCGGUCUCCUCCUAAAGAGUAACGGAGGAGCACGAAGGUUGGCUAAUCCUGGUCGGACAUCAGGAGGUUAGUGCAAUGGCAUAAGCCAGCUUGACUGCGAGCGUGACGGCGCGAGCAGGUGCGAAAGCAGGUCAUAGUGAUCCGGUGGUUCUGAAUGGAAGGGCCAUCGCUCAACGGAUAAAAGGUACUCCGGGGAUAACAGGCUGAUACCGCCCAAGAGUUCAUAUCGACGGCGGUGUUUGGCACCUCGAUGUCGGCUCAUCACAUCCUGGGGCUGAAGUAGGUCCCAAGGGUAUGGCUGUUCGCCAUUUAAAGUGGUACGCGAGCUGGGUUUAGAACGUCGUGAGACAGUUCGGUCCCUAUCUGCCGUGGGCGCUGGAGAACUGAGGGGGGCUGCUCCUAGUACGAGAGGACCGGAGUGGACGCAUCACUGGUGUUCGGGUUGUCAUGCCAAUGGCACUGCCCGGUAGCUAAAUGCGGAAGAGAUAAGUGCUGAAAGCAUCUAAGCACGAAACUUGCCCCGAGAUGAGUUCU